This 445-nucleotide ribosomal RNA is filed under the name uncultured bacterium. Its description in RNAcentral is "partial 16S ribosomal RNA". It matches the Rfam family "Bacterial small subunit ribosomal RNA", at positions 354 to 796 of the family's 1533-position model. The record is from RNAcentral.
GUAAGGAAUAUUGGACAAUGGACGCAAGUCUGAUCCAGCCAUGCCGCGUGAAGGAUUAAGGUCCUCUGGAUUGUAAACUUCUUUUAUAAGGGACGAAAAAAGGCUUUUCUAAGUCGUCUGACGGUACCUUAUGAAUAAGCACCGGCUAACUCCGUGCCAGCAGCCGCGGUAAUACGGAGGGUGCAAGCGUUAUCCGGAUUCACUGGGUUUAAAGGGUGCGUAGGCGGGGAGGUAAGUCAGUGGUGAAAUCCUAGAGCUUAACUCUAGAACUGCCAUUGAUACUAUCUGUCUUGAAUAUUGUGGAGGUAAGCGGAAUAUGUCAUGUAGCGGUGAAAUGCUUAGAUAUGACAUAGAACACCUAUUGCGAAGGCAGCUUACUACGCAUAUAUUGACGCUGAGGCACGAAAGCGUGGGGAUCAAACAGGAUUAGAAACCCGAGUAGUCC